RNAcentral lists this ribosomal RNA (401 nucleotides) under uncultured bacterium. RNAcentral's name for it is "bacterial SSU rRNA". It matches the Rfam family "Bacterial small subunit ribosomal RNA", at positions 30 to 432 of the family's 1533-position model. The record is from RNAcentral.
UUGAACGCUGGCGGCAUGCCUUUCACAUGCAAGUCGAACGGCAGCACGGGAGCAAUCCUGGUGGCGAGUGGCGAACGGGUGAGUAAUAUAUCGGAACGUGCCCAGUCGUGGGGGAUAACGCAGCGAAAGCUGUGCUAAUACCGCAUACGAUCUAUGGAUGAAAGCGGGGGAUCGCAAGACCUCGCGCGAUUGGAGCGGCCGAUAUCAGAUUAGCUAGUUGGUUGGGUAAAGGCCCACCAAGGCGACGAUCUGUAGCUGGUCUGAGAGGACGACCAGCCACACUGGAACUGAGACACGGUCCAGACGCCUACGGGAGGCAGCAGUGGGGAAUUUUGGACAAUGGGCGCAAGCCUGAUCCAGCAAUGCCGCGUGCAGGAUGAAGGCCUUCGGGUUGUAAACUG